UACGUAGGGUGCAAGCGUUAAUCGGAAUUACUGGGCGUAAAGCGUGCGCAGGCGGUUAUGCAAGACAGAUGUGAAAUCCCCGGGCUUAACCUGGGAACUGCAUUUGUGACUGCACAGCUAGAGUACGGCAGAGGGGGAUGGAAUUCCGCGUGUAGCAGUGAAAUGCGUAGAUAUGCGGAGGAACACCGAUGGCGAAGGCAGUCCCCUGGGCCUGUACUGACGCUCAUGCACGAAAGCGUGGGGAGCAAACAGG
RNAcentral lists this ribosomal RNA (253 nucleotides) under uncultured bacterium. RNAcentral describes it as "partial 16S ribosomal RNA". It matches the Rfam family "Bacterial small subunit ribosomal RNA", at positions 524 to 776 of the family's 1533-position model. The record is from RNAcentral.